GACGAACGCUGGCGGCGUGCCUAAUACAUGCAAGUCGAACGAACUCUGGUAUUGAUUGGUGCUUGCAUCAUGAUUUACAUUUGAGUGAGUGGCGAACUGGUGAGUAACACGUGGGAAACCUGCCCAGAAGCGGGGGAUAACACCUGGAAACAGAUGCUAAUACCGCAUAACAACUUGGACCGCAUGGUCCGAGCUUGAAAGAUGGCUUCGGCUAUCACUUUUGGAUGGUCCCGCGGCGUAUUAGCUAGAUGGUGGGGUAACGGCUCACCAUGGCAAUGAUACGUAGCCGACCUGAGAGGGUAAUCGGCCACAUUGGGACUGAGACACGGCCCAAACUCCUACGGGAGGCAGCAGUAGGGAAUCUUCCACAAUGGACGAAAGUCUGAUGGAGCAACGCCGCGUGAGUGAAGAAGGGUUUCGGCUCGUAAAACUCUGUUGUUAAAGAAGAACAUAUCUGAGAGUAACUGUUCAGGUAUUGACGGUAUUUAACCAGAAAGCCACGGCUAACUACGUGCCAGCAGCCGCGGUAAUACGUAGGUGGCAAGCGUUGUCCGGAUUUAUUGGGCGUAAAGCGAGCGCAGGCGGUUUUUUAAGUCUGAUGUGAAAGCCUUCGGCUCAACCGAAGAAGUGCAUCGGAAACUGGGAAACUUGAGUGCAGGAGAGGACAGUGGAACUCCAUGUGUAGCGGUGAAAUGCGUAGAUAUAUGGAAGAACACCAGUGGCGAAGGCGGCUGUCUGGUCUGUAACUGACGCUGAGGCUCGAAAGUAUGGGUAGCAAACAGGAUUAGAUACCCUGGUAGUCCAUACCGUAAACGAUGAAUGCUAAGUGUUGGAGGGUUUCCGCCCUUCAGUGCUGCAGCUAACGCAUUAAGCAUUCCGCCUGGGGAGUACGGCCGCAAGGCUGAAACUCAAAGGAAUUGACGGGGGCCCGCACAAGCGGUGGAGCAUGUGGUUUAAUUCGAAGCUACGCGAAGAACCUUACCAGGUCUUGACAUACUAUGCAAAUCUAAGAGAUUAGACGUUCCCUUCGGGGACAUGGAUACAGGUGGUGCAUGGUUGUCGUCAGCUCGUGUCGUGAGAUGUUGGGUUAAGUCCCGCAACGAGCGCAACCCUUAUUAUCAGUUGCCAGCAUUAAGUUGGGCACUCUGGUGAGACUGCCGGUGACAAACCGGAGGAAGGUGGGGAUGACGUCAAAUCAUCAUGCCCCUUAUGACCUGGGCUACACACGUGCUACAAUGGAUGGUACAACGAGUUGCGAACUCGCGAGAGUAAGCUAAUCUCUUAAAGCCAUUCUCAGUUCGGAUUGUAGGCUGCAACUCGCCUACAUGAAGUCGGAAUCGCUAGUAAUCGCGGAUCAGCAUGCCGCGGUGAAUACGUUCCCGGGCCUUGUACACACCGCCCGUCACACCAUGAGAGUUUGUAACACCCAAAGUCGGUGGGGUAACCUUUUAGGAACCAGCCGCCUAAGGUGGGACAGAUGAUUAGGGUG
Molecule: ribosomal RNA, 1489 nt
Filed under: Lactiplantibacillus plantarum
Lineage: Bacteria; Bacillati; Bacillota; Bacilli; Lactobacillales; Lactobacillaceae
Description: bacterial SSU rRNA
Rfam family: Bacterial small subunit ribosomal RNA
Source: RNAcentral